RNAcentral lists this non-coding RNA (24 nucleotides) under Cricetulus griseus (Chinese hamster). Lineage: Eukaryota; Metazoa; Chordata; Mammalia; Rodentia; Cricetidae. The record is from RNAcentral.
CAGUGUACUAGGUCAGUCAGGAGG